UGGAAAAACAUGUGCUGUGAUUUAAGCAUGAAUUAUAUAUGGUUAUACACCUAAAGAAACUCAAAUUUGAGUGUUUUUGUGCACAUAAAUUUCUGUUUUGUUUUCUAAAAAAUAGUAAUAACGAUUGCACUGCAGAAUUGCUUUCAUAGUAAAUGCUUGCUGUGAAAGCAUGAGACCUGGAUUUCAGAUCCCCAAACCCACAUAGAAGCUGAAGGGGUGUGGUAGUUCGGUUUCAAAGAGACAAGGACAGGGAAUUCCUUGACAAAGCAGGCUAGCCAACUAUGUGAAACGAUGAGUUUCUGGUUCAGUGUGAGACUCCUUCCUGCUCCAUAUGGAGGAUAGAGAACAAUCAAGGAAGACACCCACUAUGUCUUGACCCUCUAUACCCAUGCACAAACAUGUCUGCCCACAGACCCAUACAUAUUCAUGGAUAGCAUACAUGUGCGCAGAAAGUAACAGUAGCAGUAAAGGAGAUUUGGUUCUCCCAAAUGAGGAGAUGACUUGGCAGCUAUUGUUUUGCCAGUGGAAGAUGGCUUGUGUCACCCAACCUCUCUGUUUUCCAUUGUUGAAUGGGUGAGAAGGAUCAAGGACAUACGUAUGAGGCUAGAAAAUCAAGUAGCACUAACAGCCACUCGGAGGUGGACAUAUAUGCCAUGGAACAUCAUUGUUAGAAAGCCUCAAGAACUAACAUCAAGAACAGAGCCUAAGGAAGAAAGGCCGCCAUGUUGAUUCUCAACGUUAAAAGCACUAAAUUGUUUGCCUAAUGCUCCUCCAGCUUGGGAAAUGCUGGCCUGUUUGCUCAAGUCCUGGAUGCCAGACAUUCCUGAGACUCCACUCCACACACACCCCUUCCUCCUUGCCAAUCACUUCAGAUUGGGAGAGCAAGCUACCACCAGUGUGCUAAGGGCCAAAGAGCCUUCCUUGAUGCCGGUCCAUGUAACGAACGUCCACUCAGUUCUGUGGGAAUUGGAGCUCCUGAUUGAAUACCUUUCUCCAGUUAAAAGAUGUCACUUAUACUGUGAACUCUUGUGGAGAGUGAUGUCUCUUAUCUUGUGAGGGUAGAAUGGCA
RNAcentral lists this long non-coding RNA (1069 nucleotides) under Rattus norvegicus (Norway rat). RNAcentral's name for it is "long non-coding RNA NONRATT032439". Lineage: Eukaryota; Metazoa; Chordata; Mammalia; Rodentia; Muridae. The record is from RNAcentral.